This 48-nucleotide non-coding RNA is filed under the name Hoeflea sp. EC-HK425. RNAcentral's name for it is "mini-ykkC". It matches the Rfam family "Guanidine-II riboswitch aptamer (mini-ykkC)". Rfam says of the family: Simpler in structure and has fewer highly conserved nucleotide positions than the ykkC-yxkD leader. Despite this each of its two stem-loop structures directly bind free guanidine. Lineage: Bacteria; Pseudomonadati; Pseudomonadota; Alphaproteobacteria; Hyphomicrobiales; Rhizobiaceae. The record is from RNAcentral.
CAGCGAGGACGACCUCCCCAUUCAGGAAAAACCGCCGGGACGACCCGG